Molecule: long non-coding RNA, 213 nt
Filed under: Gossypium barbadense (sea-island cotton)
Lineage: Eukaryota; Viridiplantae; Streptophyta; Magnoliopsida; Malvales; Malvaceae
Description: long non-coding RNA (GBAR_LNC016458)
Source: RNAcentral
ACAAAUUUCCGCUCAUAUUCUGUCACUGUCAUCCGACCCUGUUUCAAUUCAAGAAAUUCCUUACGUUUCUGAUCAAUGAAUCUCUGGCUAAUAUAUUUCUUACGGAAUUCAGUCUGAAAGAAUUCCCAGGUCACUCGCUCUUUCGGAACCACCGAUACUAGUGUAUUCCACCAGUGAUAUGCAGUGUCCCGUAGCAAGGAUAUGGCACAUUUC